GUGCUUGCUUCAUCAGCACCUCUACUAAAAUCGGAACGAUACAGAGAAGAGUAGCGUGGCCCCUGCGCAAGGAUGACACACAAAUUCGUGAAGCAUUUCAUAUUUUU
Arvicanthis niloticus (Nile rat) is the source of this 107-nucleotide non-coding RNA. The record is from RefSeq and is a predicted model, not a curated record. Lineage: Eukaryota; Metazoa; Chordata; Mammalia; Rodentia; Muridae.